UAAGAGGGAACCCGGUGGGAAUCCGGGACUGCCCCGCAGCGGUGAGCGGGAACGACCGCCGUCAUACGCACUGGGACCGGGGAACGCGACGGUCCUGGGAAGCGACGGCCAGUAGGUGCCCGUCGGCAGAGCAGGAGAGCCGGCAGGCGUGCCCGUGAGUCCGAAGACCU
This 170-nucleotide non-coding RNA is filed under the name Streptomyces sp. The record is from RNAcentral. Lineage: Bacteria; Bacillati; Actinomycetota; Actinomycetes; Kitasatosporales; Streptomycetaceae.